RNAcentral lists this ribosomal RNA (367 nucleotides) under uncultured bacterium. Its description in RNAcentral is "bacterial SSU rRNA". It matches the Rfam family "Bacterial small subunit ribosomal RNA", at positions 28 to 399 of the family's 1533-position model. The record is from RNAcentral.
GACGAACGCUGGCGGCGUGCUUAACACAUGCAAGUCGAGCGGUAAGGCCCUUUCGGGGGUACACGAGCGGCGAACGGGUGAGUAACACGUGGGUGACCUGCCCUUAGCUCUGGGAUAAGCCUGGGAAACUGGGUCUAAUACCGGAUAUGACUCCAUAACGCAUGUUGUGGGGUGGAAAGCCUUGUGCGGCUAGGGAUGGGCCCGCGGCCUAUCAGCUUGUUGGUGGGGUNAUGGGCCACCAAGGCGACGACGGGUAGCCGGCCUGAGAGGGCGACCGGCCACACUGGGACUGAGACACGGCCCAGACUCCUACGGGAGGCAGCAGUGGGAAUCUUGCGCAAUGGCGAAGCCUGACGCAGCGACGCCG